Molecule: long non-coding RNA, 430 nt
Filed under: Ursus thibetanus thibetanus
Lineage: Eukaryota; Metazoa; Chordata; Mammalia; Carnivora; Ursidae
Description: lncRNA (ENSUTTG00000015643.1)
Source: RNAcentral
CCUCAGUUGUGGGCUUUAGAUUGUUAUCACUUCUUAACUAAAACUUUCUGCCUUUCAUAAGUUAUUUUUGCUUACAGAUUCUGAACUGCUCCAGACCAUAAACGUUCAUAAUAGGCAUUAAAAAACCAAACAUCUUCAGAAGCCAGAAAGCAAUAACAUUUCUGAAUGGGGCAGUGUGGAGAAAUCCUAAGAGAAAUAGCAUAAGAGCAUUUUGGAAUAUAUCCCGGAAAAGAUAACUUUCUACACAUCUGUAGAGAUUCGCCAGGUUAAGAUCUGAAUUCUGAGUUGAAGUUAAAAUCACAGACUCUGGGAAAAUGGAAGGAAUCAGUGGCUAACAGUUCAAACACCAUAUUUUAAUGGCUAUUCUCCUAUUCCAAAGGGUACCAGUUUGGUAAGGUUUUUUUAAAUCUACUAAAUUUGCUAGCUAAUU